RNAcentral lists this ribosomal RNA (253 nucleotides) under uncultured bacterium. Its description in RNAcentral is "partial 16S ribosomal RNA". It matches the Rfam family "Bacterial small subunit ribosomal RNA", at positions 524 to 776 of the family's 1533-position model. The record is from RNAcentral.
UACGUAGGGUGCGAGCGUUAAUCGGAAUUACUGGGCGUAAAGCGUGCGCAGGCGGUUGUGCAAGACAGAUGUGAAAUCCCCGGGCUUAACCUGGGAAUGGCAUUUGUGACUGCACGGCUAGAGUGUGUCAGAGGGGGGUGGAAUUCCACGUGUAGCAGUGAAAUGCGUAGAUAUGUGGAGGAAUACCGAUGGCGAAGGCAGCCCCCUGGGAUAACACUGACGCUCAUGCACGAAAGCGUGGGGAGCAAACAGG